GGAUAACUACCCUUUAGGACUGGGAUAACCCUGGGAAACUGGGGAUAAUACUAGAUAGGCAAUUUUUCCUGGAAUGGUUUUUUGUUUAAAUGUUUUUUCGCCUAAGGAUGGGUCUGCGGCCGAUUAGGUAGUUGGUUAGGUAACGGCUUACCAAGCCAUUGAUCGGUACGGGUUGUGAGAGCAAGAGCCCGGAGAUGGAACCUGAGACAAGGUUCCAGGCCCUACGGGGUGCAGCAGGCGCGAAACCUCCGCAAUGUGAGAAAUCGCGACGGGGGGAUCCCAAGUGCCAUUCUUAACGGGAUGGCUUUUCAUUAGUGUAAAGAGCUUUUGGAAUAAGGGCUGGGCAAGACCGGUGCCAGCCGCCGCGGUAACACCGGCAGCUCUAGUGGUAGCAGUUUUUAUUGGGCCUAAAGCGUCCGUAGCCGGUUUAAUAAGUCUCUGGUGAAAUCCUGUAGCUUAACUGUGGGAAUUGCUGGAGAUACUAUUAGACUUGAGACCGGGAGAGGUUAGAGGUACUCCCAGGGUAGAGGUGAAAUUCUGUAAUCCUGGGAGGACCGCCUGUUGCGAAGGCGUCUAACUGGAACGGUUCUGACGGUGAGGGACGAAAGUUAGGGGCGCGAACCGGAUUAGAUACCCGGGUAGUCCUAACUGUAAACGAUGCGGACUUGGUGUUGGGGUGGCUUUGAGCUGCUCCAGUGCCGAAGGGAAGCUGUUAAGUCCGCCGCCUGGGAAGUACGGUCGCAAGACUGAAACUUAA
Molecule: ribosomal RNA, 757 nt
Filed under: uncultured archaeon
Lineage: Archaea
Description: bacterial SSU rRNA
Rfam family: Archaeal small subunit ribosomal RNA
Source: RNAcentral